This 800-nucleotide unclassified non-coding RNA is filed under the name Drosophila erecta. Its description in RNAcentral is "Atg5". Lineage: Eukaryota; Metazoa; Arthropoda; Insecta; Diptera; Drosophilidae. The record is from RNAcentral.
UAGCACCGCAAGUCGUAUUGUGCAAAAAGAAAAUAUAAUUUAGCCAAAACAAAUCCAAAUAAGGACCAUGGCCCACGACCGCGAGGUGCUGCGAAUGAUCUGGGAGGGCCAGAUAGGCAUAUGCUUCCAGGCGGAUCGGGACGAGAUCGUGGGCAUAAAGCCGGAGCCCUUCUAUCUGAUGAUAUCGCGACUUAGCUACUUGCCUUUGGUCACCGACAAGGUUCGCAAGUACUUCUCACGCUACAUAAGCGCCGAGCACCAGGAUGGAGCGGUGUGGUUCGACUUCAAUGGAACGCCCCUGCGCCUCCACUAUCCAAUUGGUGUCCUAUACGAUCUGCUGCAUCCGGAGGAGGACAGCACGCCCUGGUACCUCACCAUUCACUUCUCCAAGUUCCCCGAGGACACGCUCGUCAAGCUCAAUUCCAAGGAGCUGCUGGAAUCGCACUACAUGUCCUGCCUGAAGGAGGCGGAUGUGCUCAAGCACCGCGGCCUGGUCAUAUCCGCAAUGCAGAAGAAGGACCACAAUCAACUGUGGCUGGGACUGGUCAACGACAAGUUCGACCAGUUCUGGGCCGUCAAUCGGAGGCUGAUGGAACCGUAUGGCGAUCAGGAGUCCUUCAAAAACAUUCCCCUGCGAAUCUACACAGACGAUUUGGAUGUCGCACCCACGCCAUCGAUCUUCACGAGGAGACGCAGCUGCAGUGGAUGUCCGAGCAUCUGAGCUAUCCCGACAACUUCUUGCAUUUAUCGGUGGACUACAAGGAUGUUUAGCCCUAUAUCUAUAUGUAUAUAGCUAUAUA